UCCAGACUCCUACGGGAGGCAGCAGUGGGGAAUAUUGCACAAUGGGGGAAACCCUGAUGCAGCGACGCCGCGUGAGUGAAGAAGUAUUUCGGUAUGUAAAGCUCUCUCAGCAGGGAAGAAAAUGACGGUACCUGACUAAGAAGCCCCGGCUAACUACGUGCCAGCAGCCGCGGUAAUACGUAGGGGGCAAGCGUUAUCCGGAUUUACUGGGUGUAAAGGGAGCGUAGACGGCAUGGCAAGUCAGAUGUGAAAGCCCGGGGCUCAACCCCGGGACUGCAUUUGAAACUGUCAGGCUGGAGUGCAGGAGAGGUAAGUGGAAUUCCUAGUGUAGCGGUGAAAUGCGUAGAUAUUAGGAGGAACACCAGUGGCGAAGGCGGCUUACUGGACUGUAACUGACGUUGAGGCUCGAAAGCGUGGGGAGCAAACAGGAUUAGAUACCCCGUACC
This 446-nucleotide ribosomal RNA is filed under the name uncultured bacterium. Its description in RNAcentral is "bacterial SSU rRNA". It matches the Rfam family "Bacterial small subunit ribosomal RNA", at positions 330 to 794 of the family's 1533-position model. The record is from RNAcentral.